UACACUCCUACGGGAGGCAGCAGUGGGGAAUUUUGGACAAUGGGCGAAAGCCUGAUCCAGCAAUGCCGCGUGUGUGAAGAAGGCCUUCGGGUUGUAAAGCACUUUUGUCCGGAAAGAAAUCCUUGGCUCUAAUACAGUCGGGGGAUGACGGUACCGGAAGAAUAAGCACCGGCUAACUACGUGCCAGCAGCCGCGGUAAUACGUAGGGUGCGAGCGUUAAUCGGAAUUACUGGGCGUAAAGCGUGCGCAGGCGGUUUGCUAAGACCGAUGUGAAAUCCCCGGGCUCAACCUGGGAACUGCACUGGUGACUGGCAGGCUAGAGUAUGGCAGAGGGGGGUAGAAUUCCACGUGUAGCAGUGAAAUGCGUAGAGAUGUGGAGGAAUACCGAUGGCGAAGGCAGCCCCCUGGGCCAAUACUGACGCUCAUGCACGAAAGCGUGGGGAGCAAACAGGAUUAGAAACCCUAGUAGUCCCAUGAU
This 478-nucleotide ribosomal RNA is filed under the name uncultured organism. Its description in RNAcentral is "partial 16S ribosomal RNA". It matches the Rfam family "Bacterial small subunit ribosomal RNA", at positions 332 to 801 of the family's 1533-position model. The record is from RNAcentral.